This 497-nucleotide ribosomal RNA is filed under the name uncultured bacterium. RNAcentral's name for it is "partial 16S ribosomal RNA". It matches the Rfam family "Bacterial small subunit ribosomal RNA", at positions 28 to 507 of the family's 1533-position model. The record is from RNAcentral.
GAUGAACGCUGGCGGCGUGCCUAAUACAUGCAAGUCGAGCGAACAGACGAUGAGCUUGCUCCUCUGACGUUAGCGGCGGACGGGUGAGUAACACGUGGAUAACCUACCUAUAUGACUGGUAUAACUUCGGGAAACCGGCGCUAAUACCGGAUAAUCUCUUGAACCGCAUGGUUCAAUAGUGAAAGACGGUUUUGCUGUCACUUCUCGCUGCUUCCGGGCCGGAUUAGAUAGUUGGUAAGGUAACGGCCUACCAAGGCAACUAUGCGUAGCCGACGUGAGGGAGUGAUCGGCCACACGAGAACGGAGACGGGGUCAAGACUCCUGAGGGAGGCAGCAGUAGGGAAUCGUCCGCAAUGGGCGAAAGCAUGACGGAGCAACGCCGCGUGAGAGAUGAAGAUCUUCGGAUCGUAAAAAUCUGUUAUUAGGGAAGAACAAAUGUGUAAGGAAAUAUGCACGUCUUGACGGUACCGAAUCAGAAAGCCACGGCUAACUACGUG